This 830-nucleotide ribosomal RNA is filed under the name uncultured Verrucomicrobiota bacterium. Its description in RNAcentral is "bacterial SSU rRNA". It matches the Rfam family "Bacterial small subunit ribosomal RNA", at positions 11 to 821 of the family's 1533-position model. The record is from RNAcentral. Lineage: Bacteria; Pseudomonadati; Verrucomicrobiota.
GUUUGAUCCUGGCUCAGAACGAACGCUGGCGGCGUGGAUAAGACAUGCAAGUCGAACGGGACAUUAUUUGUAGCAAUACAAAUGAUGUUCAGUGGCGUAAGGGUGCGUAACACGUGGGCAAUCUGCCGAAAAGUGGGGGAUAGCUCGCCGAAAGGCGAAUUAAUACCGCAUGUGGCUUGUGGAGACAUCUUCACUGGGCCAAAGCCGGGGCAACCUGGCGCUUUUUGAUGAGCCCGCGGCCUAUCAGCUAGUUGGUGAGGUAACGGCUCACCAAGGCUAUGACGGGUAGCCGGUCUGAGAGGACGACCAGCCACACUGGAACUGAGACACGGUCCAGACACCUACGGGUGGCAGCAGUCGAGAAUUUUUCUCAAUGGGGGAAACCCUGAAGGAGCGACGCCGCGUGGAGGAUGAAGGUCUUCGGAUUGUAAACUCCUGUCAUUAGGGAACAAUUGUCAGCGAUUCACUGUCGCGGGCUUGAUAGUACCUGAAGAGGAAGAGACGGCUAACUCUGUGCCAGCAGCCGCGGUAAUACAGAGGUCUCAAGCGUUGUUCGGAUUCAUUGGGCGUAAAGGGUGCGUAGGCGGCGGGGCAAGUCAGGUGUGAAAUCUCGGGGCUCAACCCCGAAACUGCACUUGAUACUGCCUUGCUAGAGUACUGGAGAGGAGAUUGGAAUUUACGGUGUAGCAGUGAAAUGCGUAGAUAUCGUAAGGAAGACCAGUGGCGAAGGCGAAUCUCUGGACAGUUACUGACGCUGAGGCACGAAGGCCAGGGGAGCAAACGGGAUUAGAUACCCCGGUAGUCCUGGCAGUAAACGGUGCAUGUUUGGU